CUCAAGCUUGCAGAACCUUGGGUUAGCGGA
RNAcentral lists this unclassified non-coding RNA (30 nucleotides) under Aquifex aeolicus. RNAcentral's name for it is "putative small non-coding RNA". The record is from RNAcentral. Lineage: Bacteria; Pseudomonadati; Aquificota; Aquificia; Aquificales; Aquificaceae.